Triticum aestivum (bread wheat) is the source of this 922-nucleotide long non-coding RNA. RefSeq lists it as uncharacterized. The transcript has 3 exons. The record is from RefSeq and is a predicted model, not a curated record. Lineage: Eukaryota; Viridiplantae; Streptophyta; Magnoliopsida; Poales; Poaceae.
GCUGCCCCUCCCUUGGCCUAGUUCAUUCUGGAAACCCUCGCCGCCACCCGGUUUGGGAGAAAACGCCGAUAGCGACGACUGCAUCGGGUGCUUGCGGCGGCGCUAGUUCUUCGCCGUCGACAAGCAGGGGAUGGAAGCUACGGUUCCCAUUGAGAGGAGUUCGAUGAAAGCCUUGAACAGCCAGAUCCGUUUCCCCUCCUUGUCCUGCUAGAGAACGGGGCCAGAAAUUCGGACACUGGUGAUUCAAAUGUUGGGCCUGGGAUCGCUCAGAAGGUGGGAGACGAUGCCACAGGUGGAGCGGGUGAAGGUUUGCGCCGUCGGCGUGAUGCAUCUCCGACGAGGUCGGCCCAGUUGACCGACAAAGCAAAUCCAGAGGCCCCUGACUGGUCUAAAAGGCUUCGUCUAGACAGUGCGCCACCAAACAGAGCAAUCAUGUCCCUCCCGGUUGAUCGCUCUGGAGCAGUCAAUCCACAAGUAUGUACAGCAAACUGACAAGAGUGUAAUACGGCCUGACAAAGGUUGUGAACCAUGGGAGAGAAGGUGCACUGGCCUUCUCAUUAGCACAUUGACGUUUACACCAAGGAUUUGUUAAAGCAGCAGAGAGAAAACAUUGUGAACCUGGGGGAAGUCUAUAUGAUAAUUGGUAGCUUUUUUGGUUGCGUUGAGAAGGUGCCAUUCAUGAAAAGGACUCUUAGUAAUAUUUGUGGAAAGAUUAGUCGUGAACAAGCUGUAGAUGAUGUAAGGAAGACGCUGGAGGUGUUUGCUGACAUCCGUUCUACUGACCCUGGCUUCACCUAUGUGGUUUUGACUGACAAGUCCAUCAAGGUUAAAAGUCUCAUGUGGGCUAAUGGGAGCAGCAGAAUGCAAUACAAGUUAUUUGGUGAUGUGGUCACAUUCGACACUACAUACAGGAUAAACCUUU